Molecule: long non-coding RNA, 862 nt
Organism: Capsicum annuum
Lineage: Eukaryota; Viridiplantae; Streptophyta; Magnoliopsida; Solanales; Solanaceae
Exons: 2
Source: RefSeq, a predicted model, not a curated record
CACACUCAACCUUAAAGUGAUCAAAUACCUUAUUCAAAAGGUAAACAUAUGGAAUCCCAUGUUUUUAUCCAAAACUAUCAUAACCCUGUACAUGUGUUCAAUCAUAAUUGCUGAGAGAUUGACAUUUUCAAACUUACUAAAGGAUCCCAUGGGGAACAGGUCCAAUAUAAAGAUCUCCAUCAAAAUAUAUGUUCAGCGGUGGGAGGAGACUCGAAGGAUUUGGGAGUACCUUGUUCCUCAAAGAUGGCUUCACUCACAAGUUUUUGGGUAAGACCAUAAACAUCAUGAAAUAUUUUUUAGAGAGGCUCUGAAAAAAUAGGGUCAGGAACUAAUUGAUUUUCUGGCACACGUUGAGACACUUGAGGAGAUAAAACAGAGGAAAUGGGGUUUACUUCUAGAGUUUCUUGGGCAGGGGAUACAACCUUUUCAGAUCUAGUGGUAGAUCAGAUAGAUGUUUCUAAAAAAGGAUUUUUGACAUUGGAGGAAGAUCUUCUUAGAUGAGAAUCCUUAUUUCUAAUAAGCAACUUAGAAAUGAAAGAGGGUUGAGACAUUUCUAGUAUAUCAAGAGAAGAAAGAGUGAGCAAGAUGUUUGAAGAUGUGAAGAGGAUAGAAUUUCAAAGGGAGAAGAGAAUUUCAGUGAUAAGAAAAUGAAGAAGUUGGAGUUAAAAGUUAUUUAAAGAUGGCAGAGGUGACGAUUAGGAUUAAAGAGAAGAGAUGUUCCCAGUCUCGAUAGAACAUGUCCUUUGGAUUUUCAAAUAGAUAGAAAAAUGGUGUAGAAAGUGGGAUGAGGCACAUGGCUAUUUUGAACAAUAAAUGUUUGCAUUUUUAGAAAGCUAUACAUAUGAUACUAACCUUUUGAGUA